This 1264-nucleotide long non-coding RNA is filed under the name Physcomitrium patens. Its description in RNAcentral is "long non-coding RNA (PPAT_LNC007196)". The record is from RNAcentral. Lineage: Eukaryota; Viridiplantae; Streptophyta; Bryopsida; Funariales; Funariaceae.
AGGAUUUGGUUAAGAUUUGUUUAGGAUUUGUUUGGGAUUUGGUUAGGAUUUGUUUAGGAUUUUGUUAAGAUUUGGUUAGGAUUUGUUUAGAAUUUGACUAGAAUUUGAUUAAGAUUUGAUUAGGAUUUAUUUAGGAUUUGUUUAGGAUUUGAUUAAGAUUUGUUUAAAAUUUAUUUAGGAUUUGUUUAGGAUUUUUUUAGGAUUUAUUUAAGAUUUGGUUAGAAUUUUUUUAAGGUUUGACUAGGAUUUAUUUGGGAUUUGAUUAGAAUUUGUAUAGGAUUUGGUUAAGAUUUGUUUAGGAUUUGUUUGGGAUUUUCUUAGGAUUUUUUUUGGAUUUGACUUGGAUUUGACUUGGAUUUGACUUGGAUGUGAUUAAGGUUUGUUUAGGAUUUGAUUAAGAUUUGGUUAGGAUAUUUUAGGAUUUGAUUAGGAUUUUUUAAAGAUUUGGUUAAGGUUUGUUGAGGUCUUAUUUAGGAUUUGGUUAAGAUUUGGUUAGAAUUCGACUAGAAUUUGAUUAAGAUUUGUGUAGGAUUUGAUUAGAAUUUGGUUAGGAUUUGAUUAAGAUUUGGUUAAGAUUUAUUUAAUAUUUGAUUAGGAUUUGGUUAGAGUUUUUUUAGGAUUUGAUUAAAAUUUGAUUAAGAUUUAUUUGUGAUUUGAUAAGACUUUGAUUAGGAUUUGUUAAGAUUUGAUAAAGAUUUUUUAGGAUUUUAUUAAGAUUUGUUUAGGUUUUUUUUAGGAUUUGGUUAGAGUUUGAUCAUGAUUUGACUAGGAUUUGGUUAAGGUUUGUUUAGGAUUUUAUUUGAAUUUGGUUAGGAUUUUUUUAGGAUUUGGUUAAGAUUUAUUUAAGAUUUGAUUAGGAUUUGGAUAGGAUUUAUUUAGGCUUUAACUAGGAUUUAUUUAAGAUUUGGUUAGGAUUUAGAUAGAAUUUGGUUAGAAUUUAUUUUGGAUUUGACUAAGAUUUAAUUAAGAUUUGUUUAAGAUUUUGAUUAGGAUUUAUUUAAGAUUUUAUUAGGAUUUGUUUAGGAUUUGGUUAGGAUUUAUUUAGAAUUUGAUUAGAAUUUAUUUAGGAUUUGGUUAGAAUUUGUUUAUGGUUUGUUUAGAAUUUGGUUAAAAUUUGUUUAAAAUUUGAUUAGAAUUUGGUUAAGAUUUGUUAAGAUUUGACUAGGAUUUAUUUAGAGUUUGGUUAGAAUUCGACUAGAAUUUGAGUAGAAUUUGAUUAAGUUUAGACUAAGAUUUAAUUAAAGUUUUUAUUUUAAUAUUUUAU